GAUGAACGCUGGCGGCGUGCCUAAUACAUGCCAGUCGAACGAAACUUCUUUAUCACCGAGUGCUUGCACUCACCGAUAAAGAGUUGAGUGGCGAACGGGUGAGUAACACGUGGGCAACCUGCCCACAAGAGGGGGAUAACACUUGGAAACAGGUGCUAAUACCGCAUAACCAUAGUUACCGCAUGGUAACUAUGUAAAAGGUGGCUAUACUACCGCUUUUGGAUGGGCCCGCGGCGCAUUAGCUAGUUGGUAGGGUAAAGGCUUACCAAGGCAAUGAUGCGUAGCCGAAUUGAGAGGUUGAUCGGCCACAUUGGGACUGAGACACGGCCCAAACUCCUACGGGAGGCAGCAGUAGGGAAUCUUCCACAAUGGGCGAAAGCCUGAUGGAGCAACGCCGCGUGGGUGAAGAAGGUCUUCGGAUCGUAAAACCCUGUUGUUAGAGAAGAAAGUGCGUGAGAGUAACUGUUCACGUUUCGACGGUAUCUAACCAGAAAGCCACGGCUAACUACGUG
RNAcentral lists this ribosomal RNA (512 nucleotides) under uncultured bacterium. RNAcentral's name for it is "partial 16S ribosomal RNA". It matches the Rfam family "Bacterial small subunit ribosomal RNA", at positions 28 to 507 of the family's 1533-position model. The record is from RNAcentral.